Molecule: ribosomal RNA, 765 nt
Filed under: Triticum aestivum (bread wheat)
Lineage: Eukaryota; Viridiplantae; Streptophyta; Magnoliopsida; Poales; Poaceae
Description: partial small subunit ribosomal RNA
Source: RNAcentral
AUGUGGGAUGAAGGUGCAUAUAGAAACUGGAAGGAGCUAUAUCAAGUGGCAUCUGCAGUUGGAGUUCUGCUUGGGGUGGAUGAGGAAAGUUUGGAAAGUGGAGAUAAGGAGCCUAUUAGGUUGAGGAUAGCGUUAGGAUGUCUUGUUGGUGCUCCUUUCUCUUACCACUUUGUGUUUGGAUGGUCUUCUAGACUAGUCAAGUUCAUGAUUGAAGACAGAGUAGGAAGGAUAGAAGGGCAGUGGAAGGAAGUAGAAGAACGGAAUGUUAGCGUCAUGAAGGAAUAUGCAGAUAUAAGAGAAGAAGGUAUCGAGGUACCACCAGGAACAAUGAAUAAAGGAAUUGAUUUGGAGGGCACUGAAGUAGAUUUCACAGGCAAUUCUUCUUUGGAUUUCAGAAGUUGCUCAAGCAAGGAAUGUAAAGAAGAACUGAAGACCACAGAACAGAAUCGUAGCGUCAUGAAGGAAUAUGCUGAUAUAAGAGAAGAAGGCAAUUGUUCUUUGGAUGUUGGAAGUUUCUCAGGCAAGGAACAUAAAGAAGAGCUGAAGACCACAGAAACAGCUACAUUGUUGGAAGUGGCGAAGUUCAUUGCAGAGUUAAGAGUUCAUGAAGACAUCAAGGGAAACAGCACAAGUGCUAUGGCAGCCACCACAGCAAACUUGAAGAUAGCAGCAACAGGGGGCAAUCCCCAAGUGAAAGCUCAGCAGGAGCUGAUCAUAUGUCGGGUUUGGAAGAUUGUUCAGACAAGGAACAUCAAAAGAAACUGA